This 830-nucleotide long non-coding RNA is filed under the name Olea europaea subsp. europaea. The record is from RNAcentral. Lineage: Eukaryota; Viridiplantae; Streptophyta; Magnoliopsida; Lamiales; Oleaceae.
AGAAGGGCAAGGGGAACAACUCUUUUAACAGUUUGUGAAAAAAGCUACUGAAAGUCAUGUAUCUACGUCCUCAUCCCAGGAUCUUGACACCGCUCGACAGGAGGAAACCAUCUUGCUUCCUCAGUCCCUUCACAAGCCCAAGAUCCUCUUGAAGACCCUGAAGUGUCUAAUACCCAGGCUCCCCCAGUACCUCAAGCACCAAUAACAACAUUGGUAUCCAUGAACUUAGGCAACAGUCACAACCACAACUUAAGGCUGGGGCCAAUCCGCCAUGUCUCCUACAUUCUUUCAGCAUGCCUUGUGUCGCCUUAAGCAUGCCCCAGGUUGUUGCCAGAUAUCCAACGUUGCUUUCGACAUAAUCUGUGUUUUCUUCGGGUUAUCCUUCACUCUAGAUAAUCUCGUCUAUCCCGCUCCUAACCUUUUACAAGCAACCAUAAAUGAAGAAGAUUGAUGGUACCAUUGAUCCCACUAAUCAUCUCGAUACCUAUAGAGAUGUGAUGACUUUACAGGGCACUCUAGACGACCCUAUCCUUUGCAAAGCGCUUCCCCAAAUACUAUCUUAGUCAGGAAGGAAAUUCUAUAAUACCUUGGGGCCCAACUCAAUCACGUAUUUUGAUGACCUCGCCUUCAAAUUUGAGCCUCACUUUGCAACGGAAAAAUUUAUAAAGAAGAUUGUGAUCUCUUUCUUGCAGCUCUAGUAGUGGCGUUCUGAGUCUUUCCACGUUCAUUAUUCCAUUCAGCGUAGCGAGGUUCCACAUCCUCGAUCUCCACAUCACUACAACAGUGUCCCUCCAGGUCCAUGUGGUAUUUGUCAAACAAUCUCCCGAGCU